AUCGAUGGCUAUAGAGAGCACGACGUAGCCGCCACAUCCAUGGAUAUGAUCCUAGAAAACGCGAUGAGAAGGAUUGGACGGUGCAGCAACGGUAAGCAAGGAAGGGAGUGGCCCAGAAGCGACGACAUUAUCUUCAGCGGGAUCUAGAUCGAAGGAACUGAGGGCGGCGAUGGCAUCUGAAUCUUCUUCUUGACCUUCGAAGAAACCAAGAGGCAAACCAACCCAACAACUUCCAAGAACGGUGGAAGGAAAUCGGCGAAGGCCAUCGCAUGAGGCCAGCGUGACAAAGGAAAGGAGUACCCCAAACCAAGCUGUUAGAGUAGUGAAUUAAUUUAGAGUAGUG
RNAcentral lists this long non-coding RNA (343 nucleotides) under Arachis ipaensis. RNAcentral describes it as "long non-coding RNA (AIPA_LNC001577)". The record is from RNAcentral. Lineage: Eukaryota; Viridiplantae; Streptophyta; Magnoliopsida; Fabales; Fabaceae.